This is a small nuclear RNA of Sorex fumeus (smoky shrew), 162 nucleotides long. RefSeq annotates it as U1 spliceosomal RNA. Lineage: Eukaryota; Metazoa; Chordata; Mammalia; Eulipotyphla; Soricidae. The record is from RefSeq and is a predicted model, not a curated record. The transcript has a single exon.
AUACUUACAUGGCAAGGGAGACCCCAUGACCUUGAAGAUGGUUUUCCCAGGGUGAGGCUUAUCCAUUGCACUCCAGAUGUGCUGACCCCUACAAUUUCCCCAAAUGUGGGAAACUUGACUCCAUAAUUUGUGACAGUGGAGGACUGUGUUCAUGAUCUCCCC